Molecule: unclassified non-coding RNA, 255 nt
Filed under: Glomeraceae sp.
Lineage: Eukaryota; Fungi; Glomeromycota; Glomeromycetes; Glomerales; Glomeraceae
Description: partial contains 5.8S ribosomal RNA and internal transcribed spacer 2
Rfam family: 5.8S ribosomal RNA (bases 1-65)
Source: RNAcentral
GUGAAUCAUCGAAUUUUUGAACGCAAAUUGCACUCUCCUCGGAGAGUAUGCCUGUUUGAGGGUCAGCCUAUAAAAAAUCGACAUCGUUGCUGUUUCGCGGUGACUUUCGUCGGAGAUUGGGUUAUCUUAAACCUUUUUUUUUUUUUGGUUUAAGCGACUUAAAAUUUUUCUUCACGAUCCCAUGAAUGUUUUUAAGAUUUUUAUUUCUGAUCAUUUUAAUGUCUAUCGUUCUUUUUUAGACGUGGCCGUUGCUUC